UGCCCCGUGGCUGAGUUGGUUACAGCGUCCGACUGUUAUCAGAGCAACAAUCGGAAGGUCGUGAGUUCGAGCCUCACCGGGGCAG
Molecule: non-coding RNA, 85 nt
Organism: Trametes punicea
Lineage: Eukaryota; Fungi; Basidiomycota; Agaricomycetes; Polyporales; Polyporaceae
Source: the annotation of a GenBank genome assembly